UAUGUGGUGAAGUCUUUCAAUCGUUAUGUGCGAGGAAAAAAGAUCUCUUCCCAAACCACCUACAUCCCUCUAGAUGAUCCUCCUGCUUCUGAGCCUGCUCCUGUCCCCAGUCCUCCACAUGAAGCCCAGGUGGACCAAACUGUGAAGCCCACCCCUGCAAGAAAAGGAUAGGCUUGUCCAGUUGACCUUCUGUGGCUUUGGACUCAUCCACAUGGAUAUCUGGGCUCUUGUUGCAUUGUGGC
Molecule: long non-coding RNA, 242 nt
Organism: Alosa sapidissima (American shad)
Lineage: Eukaryota; Metazoa; Chordata; Actinopteri; Clupeiformes; Clupeidae
Exons: 3
Source: RefSeq, a predicted model, not a curated record